UCAUCUGGGAACAUUGGUCAGCUGUUGAUAGUAAUUAAAUUCCAGGCUUUUUUAAUCUGAAAAUUGUAGCAAUGUAACCUUAACUUUUCAUAAGCUACGCUCUACAUGCACAUUCAUAAGCCAGUUCCCUUAAGCUCAGCUGAGAUCUCUGUAUUUUACAAGUUAUUAUGGGCAACAGAUUAAUAUUAAAAUUAAUACUGGAAGUAUUAGAAUUGUUUUUUCCUCUCUCCUGAGCAAUAAGAACACCUCUGUUCUCCUCAUGCACAGAGGAGAACAUGUGUAAAUUCAAUCACUUCAGCUGUGUGACUGAUGUAUUUUAUCUUGGAGCUCUGUGAUCUUCUGUCUUGUCACCAUCUGCACGAAGGUUUCUUUGCAGCUGCCUGGUUUCCUUCAUCCCUGUGGGCUGUGCUGGGGGUGGUUGGAUCCCCUGCCUGGGGUCUGAGGUAUGGGGUGUGGGCAGGUGGCUGUGGGACUGCAGGCAGAGUCCAGGCAUGGGAUGCUCUCAGCAGUUUUCCUGCAAAAGGACAUGAAUCAUGGAAUCAUAGAAUGGCCUGGGAUGAAAAGGACCACAAGGACCAUCUAGUUUCCACCUCCCUGCUAUGUGCAGGGUCACCAACCACCAGACCAGGCUGCCCGGAGCCACAUCCAGCCUGGGAAGAUGGAUGUGAAGAUGGAGAUGUCCUGAAGGAGGCUUCCAAAAGUCUCAGGGAGAAAACACUGGUAUCUGAUGAGGCAGUGCAGGAAUCGUUACCCAGAUGAGGCCGGUUCUUGGCUCAACAUUGUUUGAGAUGCCUCUUCUGCCCUGCCUCGUGUUGGAAGAACUCCUCGUAUCUGUGCCUGCCUCUUCUCCAUGGUGGUUUUAACACCAGGACUGCCACACCGCUCUGGCUGAGGCAACAAGGAAGGCCACAGCCUAACUGUAUUUUAAAUAACCACGUAAUGCUUCAGUAUCUCAACUACUUCUUGUGAAGCAGCUUCUAUCAUAUCUGAAAGAUGAGUUAUAAUUUGGAGAUUGGCCUUGGUGAUCUCCAGAGGUCCCUUUCAACCCUUAUGGUUCUGUGAUUAUCAGUCGUGGGUAAGCAGAACUGGCAGCUGAAUGAGGUACUGGGGCUUAAAUGAUGCACUGAGCUUGGGAAUGGUCUGAGGGCUGGUACACCUCUACAGCAGUGCUUUCUAUUUGUGUUCUUCAAGCACGUUUUUGCUGGAGAACACACAGGGCCACACAGUGAUGGAUGGGGCGUGCUGUCAUUUUGAGUCACCGGCAUUUUGGGAUGGAAUAGGAAAGCUCCUUAAAAGCAGCCAGUGUCACAUUUGCAGCUUCAUUUUCAUGGGCGAAUAUUGCUUUGAGACUAAUGUAAGCUCUAUGUAUUAUUUGGUACUGAAAGUGUGCUAUGGAAUUUCAUUUCAAAGUACUCUCAGGGUCAUUUAUGCACAUAUAAUGGGUGGAUAAGUCAAACAAAGAGCCCUUCUCUGCCACUCUGGGCACCAGGUCAUGCUGAGGCAUCCAUGCUGGGAGCCAGAAUAGAUACCAGCACAAGUUUGCUGCUUCACUAUCCUGCUUUCUGCCCCAAAUACCCAUCUGCUCAGCUCUGCUUCUGCAGAGCAUGGAGGCAGUGGCUGAGGUUUGUGAUACUGAGGAGGAGGGGAAGGUGGCGCAGUCAAUGGUGAGGGCUGAUGUGUUCUGGGGGCAGCUGGUAGGAAGCUGGCAUCAGUGUGCUCUGUGAGCCCACCCUGAGCUGGCAUUUCAUUGAGAGCCUUUUUAGAGGCUGUGUGUUGUUUUGUCUAAUAGAAAACAAGCUUUGCAAAUGAGCUGCUGAGCACUUUAGCAGGGGGUAUUUUUUUUUUGCAUGUUUGCAAUAUUCAGUUCAGGCAUUGACAGCUGUGAACUUCACAAUGAGACUGACACUUGAGAUCUGUGUAAAGGUCAAUUUUUUAAUUGUGCCUUAUAGAUAAAAGAAAUAUCUACAUCGAUAUAGUCUAAUCGCAUUGAUUUCAGCACGGAGUUUUCAAUUAUUAUUCAGAAUUCUCUGUUAUCUCGUUGCAGUCCCACAGCCUUAGCAGGCAGUGCAAUGCUCCGUGAGAUAACCUUUAACUCAUGCUGCUGGGUCAAAAGUGAGUUGUGAUGAGUACUCCCUGCCAUUCCACAGUGAACUGUCUGGGUAAGGAAGGCAUCUGUUGCUGCAGUGCAGAUCAUGAUGCACUGAGGAUGCCUUCAGUUCUGAUACGGUAUAUUGGCUGUUUGCAGGUCUGCUGGUGCACAAAUAAGCCAAGAUCUCUUCCAUGCAGGAAGCUGCACUGCAGGGCAGUGGGAGGAAUGGCUGUGAUUAUCCCAUUACAAAGAGAAGGAUGUCUUAACAUUGGAAUCAUUGCUCGUGUUUUAGAGUGACCUUGUAAAGUAUGGUUCAUCACAGGGGGAUCGAUACUAAAUAAUAAUGCUUCUGCUUAGUUCCAGUAAAUACCUUGGGUUUAUCUAGGAGGUAUCACUCAGCUGUUUCCAACAGCUUCUAUGUGAUCAGCUGAAGCCAAAACACAUCUGCUUCUCAUAGGUGUGCCUGUAGGACUCUGCUGUUAGUGGUGUUCAGGGUAGCCAGAGGUACUCCCUGUUGUCUCAGUAGGAAACCUUUCAGUGUAUGAAGGACAAUGUUUCCAUGAAAAUAUCAAUACAAUGGUGGGCACACCUCCAUUGACAGUUCACAGCCCAGUAUUUCCUCCGCACGGUUGGAGUGUGGUAUAAUGUCAAAGGUCUGCCUGUCCCUUGCUGGACAUGGGAUGGAGGUGCCUGAGGCUGCUAUGGGCUGGGCAGCCCAACAUCAUGUAUGUAUAUAUGGCCAGGCAGGAUGUGGCUCUGGGCAGCCUGGUCUGGUGGUUGGUGACCCUGCACGUAGCAGGGGGUUGGAACUGGACGAUCUUUGAGAUCUUUUUCAACCCAGGCCAUUCUAUGAUUCAUUCUUUGAUUCUGUAUAAACAUUAAUACAUACACGUGUAUAAAAUAUUAUCACUCUGCAGCUGCAUUUGACUAUCAUCACAGAGCUUGUAUGCAUUCUAAUAAAUUCAUCAAAGGAAAAGAUCAGGCAGGUGCCAAGUGCUGCAAAAUGACCUGGACAAAGAAUGCAGAGGGUUUAGGAGUGCUUUGCAUAAAUAGGAGAAUUAUGUGCUUCACGGAGCAAGCAGUGUUCAGGUUUAAAGACACAGAUGUGUGACAGGCAUUCAGACAGUAAAUUCUGCACCUCCAGUGAUUCUGUGAUAGAAAUGUGUGCCUAUACCUCUGUAUAAUCUGCAACAAUCGAUAAAAUCAAGCAGGUUUUUUAUGAAAACAGUUUUAUUGGAAACUUUUUUAACAGUUUAAGACUCUCUCUUGUAAGUAACUGUCCCUGGACUACUGAGGUGGGUGGAGGGCUCCAUCCCCUCCUGGCAGCCCAGGGCUGAGCCCAUAUCCCUUCCAGGACCUGGCUGCAGCACCUGCUCGCUGUUUGGCAGCCUGACAUGCUUUCUGGUUUGUCCCUUUGGAUAGUGAUAUGCUGAUUCAAGCUGUACAGGAGAAACCAACAACUCAACUCUGUAUUGUGAUGAGACUCUCAGUGCUGUAUGGACAGAAUGGGGAAGCAUUCAAGCGCGUUUCCUUUCUCAGCACGUGGGAUACAGGAGGGCAGCAAAGCAUCACCUGUGAUGAACCACUCAUGUAUCCUUCUUGUAUCUGCAGGUCAGCUGCUGUUUAUGUUCGUUAGUAAAUUAUGUGCCAACCUCAUCACGUCACCCUGCAAUCACAGUGCUGUGUUCCAUGUGUCCAACCUCCAUACAUUUGUGUUUAUAUUGAGCUAUUGCAUCCUGCUCAGGGGUGAGGGCACCUCUCUGCUGCUGCACAAAUUGGAGAACUUCUGCUUCACCAAAGCUCAUAAUGCCUUCAAGGCAUCGGUUCCUCUCAUAGCAUUUCCCAAUCAAAGUAUUAAAAUGAGAGUUUUAUAUCCAGCCAAUACUCUUCUCAUAGCUGAUAAAGGCAAAUGAGGAAUCAUUUAUAUGAUUUAGGUUAUGAGAAGAGUAUAGGAAGAGAAUAUAAGCAAAGCAUUUAUUUCCCACCUGUAUAGAAAUGAAGCUGCUGUUUCUAAUAAAUCCUACUUGAAAAGAUGGCACUGUUAUGAAAGAACGGAGAGAGAGACCUGAGGCUUUACCUUCGUGCUGCUCCAGCCCCCAGGAGUUCAAGUGGGUUUUCUCUUUCCCAGCCCUUGAAUCAGCAGGCAGAAACUGUGGGUGCUGGCUGAAAGGGGGAGGAUGCUCUGAAGUGAGAUGUAGCUGCACCACAGCCUGGAGGCAGAAGGAGGGCUGUGUGUGCUCAGGGCUGCUGGGGGGGGAGGGUGGUUCGGAAAGCAAAACGAUCCUAUUCAACAAUAGAGGAGAAAUUAGGAGCUUGAAAAUAGCAGCAAAUUGGAAUGAAAAGAAUGCCAAUUACCAACUUUGAUCCCUCUUUUCUUUAUUUUUGUUUGAAAGAAAUAUUUUGUGAUAGGCACAUCUUGAAGUUUUCCACUUUUCUUUUGUUUUAAGCAGUGGGAGAUUUGGUAAACCUGUCCUUUAUCCUGCAAAUUCCCACCCUGAACCCUUUGUCCUAAAACUUCUGACUAAUUUCUAGGUAUUUUGAAUACUUAAGUUUGAGAAGACGUGGGAACUGACGACUUCUGUCCUCCGAGGAGAUGGCAUGAAUUACUGCAAUUGGAAAAUAAUUAAGAAGCAAUUACAGAAGCAAACAGAAAUCCUGUGCGUACAGCCAGGCCAUUAAAAUAUGUUCUCUAAGAAAUUACCACAACCACGCUGGAAAGAAAAGCGACAUUUAAAUAAAGUUAUGGUUAUAACAAACUAAAAAGGAAGAAAAAAACCAAAGCAAUUCGUCCUGGAAAAACAAGCAUUGGCUGCUCUGUGACUGUGCUGCAAACGGGAGUGUGUGCAAGUGGGACACGAGGGGAGAACAGCUUCAUGCCUCCCUUCUCCAGCAAGCAGUUUCAGUGCAUACUUGCACAUAUGUUUCUUAGUAAAUCACAGUAAUGACCCUAAUUCCAUGAGGAGGACCUAAAGCAAAUGCUGCCCCUGGGCUGCUACUCACCCAUCCACAACUGCUCUACGAGGUUAGCACUUGUUUUCUUCUCUAUUUCCAUCCAGACUGCUGUAACUGAAUGGGGAGAACAAUCUGAGAACUGUUAGAGAAGUAUUUGGGAUGUAACAGCUGCAUUAAUACCUAUUUGGGGUCACAGUUAGAGAAACGUGCGGUUCUUUCAGUUCACACAGACGUGGUGGGAUUUCUGUUAGGCAGCCACAGAGAAUUAAAAGCUCACUUUGAAAAGCCCUGGAUGGGGCUGAGUGACAAAUUGAGCUGCUUGUAGAGUCACCUGUAUUUUUAUAUGCGCACAGGAAAGGCAGAUUUUGUUCUGUUUCUGACAAGCAGUUACUGUAGCACCCUUUCAGUUUUGCAGGCAUUAGAGACUUCAGUUUGCUGCACAAAAUAAUGAGUUACGCUGUGUCUGCAUUAAACAACAGAGAUACAUGUCAGCAUUUCCAUGUCAUCCUUCUGUCACAGUAAAUGAAUGACAGUACAACAUAUGGGCUCAUUAGGUAACAUCCAACAGGUUAAUAGCCAUCGAUGUGUUGGAUUUCAGUUAUGCGUGUGUAAGUGUUUUUAGAUAUGCCAGCAAAUGAAGCCGGAGGGAAGAAAAUUUCACGAAAGCCAAAAUAAUUUGAGAGAGCAUUUGCAAAAAUGAAGUGCUGAAUUUAACCAUUUCAGUGCAUGUUGAGCUGCAAGCAGUAGGAACAGCCUCGUGCAGUUCUCAUUUUCAAUACGAUCUGCUCAAAGAAGUUCAAGUGGAUAAUAAAUACACUUCAACAAAUAAAGAUCUGUUUGAAGAGAGCUUCUGGGAUUGUGGGAAUAAAAGCCUGAGGGUAACUUCAGUCCGAUCACUGCUAAAAUCCAGACUGUAACAUUGAGGUGAUAAACAAAUGAGACUUAAGGAGCCACAGGCCUUGGGAUUAAGAGUCAGAAUAAGAACAUGAGGUACAUUUACUUCAUUGUGCAAUGUAAAUAACCCAUUUAAAAAUUAACGUUGUUGCACUGACAAUGCAUUGCUAGAUAGGAGAACACAUGCAGUCAUUGUUCUCCCCGCCUCUUUUAUUUUACUUAUACUAACCCCUUGGAGCAGCCGGCUGCUCAGCCGUGAUAGCGAUGCUCACAACCUCCUUCCUUCCCAGAAGUCUCCACAGUCUCCAGGAUCUUGCUCCAGUGACAUCCACUGCCAAUGUUUCUCCACUUAGAAUACGUCCUGGCAUCCUUGUGAUUAUCUUCUGCUGUGCUCUGUUCAGUGGAUAAACCGGAGGCAGUUACUGACAUAUAAAACUCUCAGUGGUCAGAGCCACCAAAGCUCUGUAGGUGGAUGUGAGUCUGUGAGACUGGCUUUGUAAACUUGGGUUGUGUGUAAAGGGGAGAUGUGUCUUCAGUGUCUUGCAACACCAAUGAUUGCUAAAACCAACAUGAAGCCCGAACUGCCCCAUGCAGCGUUUGCUCUCAGCCCCUGGAAUUAGUCUUGAAUUCUCAUGAUAGAAGGAUGUGCUCAUAAUUCAGAAAGUAAACAUACACAGCUACCUCUGUGCCUUUAUGGGGAGGGUGACAGAGCACUGGAACAGGCUCCCCAGGGAGGUGGUGGAGUCUCUUUGUAUGGAGAUAUUCAAGACCUGUCUGGACACCUACAUGUAUGACCUAUUAUAGGGUACCUACUCUAGCAGGGGGUUAGACUUGAUCUUUUGAGGUCCCUUCCAACCCCUGUGGUUCUGUGACUGUGUUUCUGUAAUACACACAAGCAACACCUACAGUAUACGUAGCUUGAUGUACAUAGUCUUAUAUGUAAAUGUUUAUAUAACCACGAUUUAAAGUCUGAUCAUAUUUCCACCAGCUUUCUCUCUUGAUCCUGAUGCAAUGCACUGUAGCAUGUCCUGGCUGUCUGUACCAUACCCUUUGGCCUGAUAUCUGUGGCUACAUACCUAUAGCGGCUAUCAAAGAGGGGGUGGGGGAUCCUGCUUUGCCACAGGGACAUGAUUAAGAUCCCCUUAGCACAUUGACCAUGACAUCUGCAGGUCAUGCACCUAUUGCUGGGGGGACUACCAAUCCUCCAACCUCCAAUCAUCUCCCCUAGGUGCAAGUAGGCCACACCACAUUGGUCCUACUUGCACUUUCCAAGGCCAUUCUAUUUUAUGGGUACCAGGUUCUAGGUUUUCAGGGGCAGGGAGCAGAAGAUUAUUUUAAUUGCCAGUUUGGGGUCUUACCUGAUUAUCGGUGCCCAUAAUUUGGAUCCUUAGCAGGGAAGCCCAUGUUGCCUGCAGCAUCUUUAGGGCAUUGGGUCUGCCAUCUCUAGGCCUUUCAUUCAGGUUCUGCAGGGCUUCAUAGAGUCUUUGUCCACCCCUGCAGGGACUGAGAGUCUGUCUUCAGGGCAGUCUUCAGAAUACCAUUAUAGCAUUCAAUAAGGCCUGUCCCCACCAGAUUGUAUGGCAGAUGGAAUCACCACUCAAUGUUGUUUUCUUCUGUCCAGCACUGUACCACUGCACCAGUGAAAUAAGUCAUCGAGAGUGACCAAGGGACUCGAAGUGUUCCGUAGGCAGCCAUCAUCUUGGUAAGCACCUUAAUGGCAUAUCCCUGGUUUGCUUUGGCACUGGAUAGCCCUGCAAUAGCCCAUUUGCUGUGUUGAUGCAGGUCAGGGCAUAUCUUCCAUAUAUCAGGCAUCUUCAGGAAUGGCCUACAAGCCUGGUCUUUACAACUUCUGUGGGUUUAUAGCCCACCCUUUUUUUUUUUGUAGAUAGGUAGCCAGUAAGACUGCUGCCUUUCCUAAUGCCUUCAGUGAGUCUGAUGUCAGCAUGAGAUCAUCAAUAUAGUGGUACAGCUUGAUGUUAUUAGAAUUAUUUCAGUCUGCUAGGUCAUGCGCCACUAAGUUAUGACAAUAUGUAGGCAAGUGCACAUACCCUUGCGGCAGGAACCAAGAGGUCCACUGCCUGCCUCCCCACAUAAAUGCAAACUGAACUUGUAAUUCUUUGUGGAUGGGAAGGGAAUACAUUUGCAAAGUCUAGGACACACUAUUUGGUUUCUAACUCCGCACUCAAUGUAUCCACCAGGGAGACAAUAUUGGGUACAGCUGCAUGAAUGGGCAGUGUGACCUUAUUCAGUUCUACAUAAUCCACUGUCAUUCUCCAUGUGCUGUCUGACUUCCACACUGGCCAUAUGGGGGAAUUGGAUGGGCUAUAUGCAGGUCUUAUGAUCCCUACUUUUUCUAGCUCCUGAACCAUUCUAAGUAUUUCCUCUUGACCCUCUGGGAAUCUAUACUGUUUAGUACUAGUAAUCUAGCACAGAAUGGGCAAGUGAAUACGUUCACGUUUCACAUGGCCUCUUAAUAUUGCCUGCACUACCUGGAAACUAAUACAUCUCUCUCUCUCAGUCUGAGCUCUCCUAUGGUCAUCUGGAGAGUCAGACCCCAUAACAUGUCUGUGCCUGUUAUAUACUUCAGAACUGGGGCAAUAGACACCUUACACUCCUGGUGUGGAAGACACCCAACUUUAACGGUGUCUGGGUUACAGGCACGGUCUAUGCCCCAAACCCACCAAUCACCACCUCAUCUCCAUGGAAUUUGGUUGGAUCACCAUAAAUAAUUGACAUUUCUGCACCCACAUCAGCUAGUGCCAUAACUCACCCUAUAUUCUUUUGGGACCAAAACACAGUCAGUUUAAUAUAGGGGCCCCCAGGCAGGACUGGAGGCCCCAGGUACAGAGGGGCUAGCAUCCCUUUCAUGCAAGUAGCUGAGAAUCGCCAAUUCCUUUUCCUCAGGUGACUCUGGCAUAGAGGCCUGGGUCAAUUCAGGAGGCUUUUUGCUUUUAUUAGGAACUAGGAAAUUUUCCAGGUUCCACGUUGUUGUUGUUGUUUCGGUUAUUUUUUCCUCCAGUAAUUCUCACCCCUGCUUUUUGAGGAUAUUUUGAAACUUCUGCUUCAGGGUCCCAGUAAUCAUCCUGCACAUGAUUUUUUUAAGGUAAUCCACAUAAAUAAGUAGCUGGCAUACCAAGUGCAGUACUGUAAUGCUAUAACGUGGUAGAAAGCACAGCAAUAAGGGAGAGUGGCACAAUCCUAGGCUACACCAAACGAGAACAAGCCCAAAUGCAGCAGCCAGCCAGGGAUGCAAAAACAAAGGAAGAAAAACUGCUUACCUUUAGAAGGCCUCCAGGGAGCAGAGAUCUCAAGCAAGAUGCUUUCACCUCCACUGCCAGCCCUUAAAUGAGGCCUGGGAAGGGGAGGAUCCUGACUCCACCCUUCUGGUCACUCAGCUGCAUUGCAUUGCAUUGCAUUGCAUUGCAUUACAUGCACCUGAGAUCCCCUGGGCUGGCCCUGCCUUCCCACCAGGUGCUCAAUCACUGCUUCAGGCCGUUACUUAGCAUUGCCACUACAGGUCCCCCACAUGGAACAUUCCUUUUACUUCCCAGUUAAAAGUACUUGUUUAGGUUUUUUGUUUUUUCCCGGUGACAAAGAGUGAUGCUCAGUAGCCACGUUUACAGAGUGCUCAAAUCCCUACCGACAGACUGCUUUUGUCAUGAAAAGCAAAGUUGUCAUGGUGACAGAGCAGCCUGAUGCCUCACUGCACGGAAGUGCCAGCAGGAGGUGGGAGCGGAGGGGCACAUGGGGUCAAUGAGUGCGGUCCCGCAGUCACCCGACUUUUCACAGCAUUAACAGUGCAUCUCUCGGAUAACGGAGGUAACAGGAUGUGCAUAAGAAAAGUGGAAACUUCUUUCAUUCACUGCUGAUGGGAGAAAAGGAGUCAUCUGCGGAGUUAUUUCAACAGAGAGAUAUGUGACCGGCAUCGAGACGAGAGCCAUGACAUUCUUCUGACA
This is a long non-coding RNA of Gallus gallus (chicken), 9891 nucleotides long. RefSeq lists it as uncharacterized. The transcript has 5 exons. NCBI's taxonomy places the organism in Eukaryota, Metazoa, Chordata, Aves, Galliformes, Phasianidae. The record is from RefSeq and is a predicted model, not a curated record.